AAAUUGUUGAAAGGGAAGCGCUUGUGACCAGACUUGCGCCGGGCGGCUCAUCAGGGGUUCUCCCCUGUGCACUCCGCCCGGCUCAGGCCAGCAUCGGUUCUCGUGGGAGGAUAAGAACAGUGGGAACGUGGCCCCCUUUCGGGGGGGUGUUAUAACCCACCGUACGAUACCCCCGUGGGGACCGAGGUUCGCGCUCCGCAAGGAUGCUGGCGUAAUGGUCAUCAGCGACCCGUCUUGAAACACGGACCAAGGAGUCGUCCAUUAGAGCGAGCGUUUGGGUGUAAAACCCGCACGCGUAAUGAAAGUGAACGCAGGUGAGAGCUUCGGCGCAUCAUCGACCGAUCCUGAUGUCUUCGGAUGGAUUUGAGUAAGAGUUUUAACGGACGGACCCGAAAGACAGUGAACUAUGCUUGUAUAGGGUGAAGCCAGAGGAAACUCUGGUGGAGGCUCGCAGCGGUUCUGACGUGCAAAUCGAU
Molecule: ribosomal RNA, 476 nt
Filed under: Cytospora sp.
Lineage: Eukaryota; Fungi; Ascomycota; Sordariomycetes; Diaporthales; Cytosporaceae
Description: partial large subunit ribosomal RNA
Rfam family: Eukaryotic large subunit ribosomal RNA
Source: RNAcentral